AAUUUUGGUUAAGGAAGUGAGGGCAGUAGACACAGUCUCCGAUUGGAUAAUAAGACGGUUGGUGGACCAGGAAGGGUUUCAACCGCCCUCGUGAGAAAGUUGCCAACGGAAUAUACCAGAAGUGAGGAAAACCGACUUUCCGUAGUAAACAAUAAACGUAAAAGGAAAUCUAAGACAAGAGAUACUCGCUUGGUCUGAGGGACCUUAACUAUGAAAAUUGCAAGACCCCUGGUGAGUACUUAAGACUAUUGAGGGUACGCGUCAAGGAUGUGCAGACAUCUGGGUGCCAUCCUGCCCGCGGUACGCGGGUACCCAAUGAAACUCGAGGGCCCGGCAUAUCUUGUUCCAGGGGAUACUGUUGAAAGCGUUGACCACGUUCAGCGACACGGCCAAUGCCACGCAACCACGCUGCUCGACCC
Molecule: unclassified non-coding RNA, 419 nt
Filed under: Bombus terrestris (buff-tailed bumblebee)
Lineage: Eukaryota; Metazoa; Arthropoda; Insecta; Hymenoptera; Apidae
Description: misc RNA ENSBTSG00005028269.1
Source: RNAcentral